UGUGCGAGCCUUCGGGAACUCUGGAUCGCUGCCAAGCUCACCUUAUAAUACUUUAAUUUUAAAACCGAUUUUUGAAAUUGAUUUUUCUGGUAUUGUUUUUUGAAUGAUUUUUCUGGUUUUUUGUUUUGA
This 129-nucleotide ribosomal RNA is filed under the name Methanosarcina mazei Go1. Lineage: Archaea; Methanobacteriati; Methanobacteriota; Methanomicrobia; Methanosarcinales; Methanosarcinaceae. The record is from RNAcentral.